This 468-nucleotide ribosomal RNA is filed under the name uncultured bacterium. RNAcentral's name for it is "partial 16S ribosomal RNA". It matches the Rfam family "Bacterial small subunit ribosomal RNA", at positions 28 to 507 of the family's 1533-position model. The record is from RNAcentral.
GACGGACGCUGGCGGCGUGCUUAACACAUGCAAGUCGAACGGAAAGGCCCUGCUUUUGUGGGGUGCUCGAGUGGCGAACGGGUGAGUAACACGUGAGUAACCUGCCCUUGACUUUGGGAUAACUUCAGGAAACUGGGGCUAAUACCGGAUAGGAGCUCCUGCUGCAUGGUGGGGGUUGGAAAGUUUCGGCGGUUGGGGAUGGACUCGCGGCUUAUCAGCUUGUUGGUGGGGUAGUGGCCUACCAAGGCUUUGACGGGUAGCCGGCCUGAGAGGGUGACCGGCCACAUUGGGACUGAGAUACGGCCCAGACUCCUACGGGAGGCAGCAGUGGGGAAUAUUGCACAAUGGGCGGAAGCCUGAUGCAGCAACGCCGCGUGCGGGAUGACGGCCUUCGGGUUGUAAACCGCUUUCGCCUGUGACGAAGCGUGAGUGACGGUAAUGGGUAAAGAAGCACCGGCUAACUACGUG